UACGUAGGGGGCGAGCGUUGUCCGGAUUUAUUGGGCGUAAAGAGCUCGUAGGCGGCUUGUCGCGUCGAAUGUGAAAUCUCGGGGCUCAACUCCGAGCUUGCAUUCGAUACGGGCAGGCUAGAGUUCGGUAGGGGAGACUGGAAUUCCUGGUGUAGCGGUGAAAUGCGCAGAUAUCAGGAGGAACACCGGUGGCGAAGGCGGGUCUCUGGGCGAUACUGACGCUGAGGAGCGAAAGCGUGGGGAGCGAACAGG
This 252-nucleotide ribosomal RNA is filed under the name uncultured bacterium. RNAcentral's name for it is "partial 16S ribosomal RNA". It matches the Rfam family "Bacterial small subunit ribosomal RNA", at positions 524 to 776 of the family's 1533-position model. The record is from RNAcentral.